AAGUCAUAAACCCCGCCCAUUUGUACAAUUUCUCUUCUGGGUUUUUAAACUUAACCACACUGAUAACUCAAUGCCUAACCCUAACCUUAAAUUAAGACCAAAAAGCAAUUGUUGUUUUAAUGAAUUUUUAUGAUAUAGCCACUCUGACUUUGUGGUUGCAGUAACUAGUGGAAACCACAAAAAAAACAUGCCUCGACCCGGAAGAACAUGUGACCUAUGCCGAUCGAGUUGUUUCAGGUCAGUCGGACAACAACACUGCUAACAGCACUAGCUACACUUAUUUUGUAGCUAACGUGACAAAGCGCUAGGCCAACAGCGCGUAUUUACGAAGAUUUGUAAGUGCGUUGUGAUUUCGACAAAAAUGUCAGUUUUGCAAGGACAGAUUAGCUCCAUUUUGGAGAUAAUGGUUAGCGCGACUGUUACAGAAAUUAGCAAAGUAAUCGAGGGUUCUGCCUCGUCUGAAGUGCCAACAACGGGAGAUAACGCGAGUGAAGCCCCAAACGAACAGUUGACCCAGUUGACCUCAUUCAUGGAGAUGCUGGCAAAGGAGGCUGUGGACCAAAUCUGCAAGCUAUUCAACGAGUGCUCCUCCGUUCUGCAUCUGGAAGUGUCUCGGAGUCAAACUGAGAAUGAGGACUUGAAGAAGAGGCUAGAUGCGUUUGAGACCAAACUGAGGACUGUCUUAGAAGGGAGUGGAGGACAAGAGAACACAUCAGCCAAUGGCUGCUGCAGUGAAGUCAAGAUCAUCCACCAGUUAAAAGGCACACAACCAGGCGUAUGCGUUGGUGAUGCAGAAGUGAAACGAUCCCCCAUCCUCCACCUGUGGAAGGGGAGACUUCCCUCAACUGUAAACGAGUUUCACCUGCAAUGCUUUUCCAAGAGUCUUGAAGGAGUUCCCACAUGCUGAGCACUUGUUGGCUGCUUUUCCUUCACUCUGCGGUCCAACUCAUCCCAAACCAUCUCAAUUGGGUUGAGAUCGGGUGAUUGUGGAGGACAGGUAAUCUGAUGCAGCUCUCCAUCAGUCCUCAUGAGAGCCAGUUUCAUCAUAGCGCUUGAUGUUUUUUGGGACUGCACUUGAAGAAACUUUCAAAGUUCUUGAAAUUUUUCCGCAUUCACUGACCUUCAAAUCUUAAAGUAAUGUUGGACUGUUGUUUCUCUUUGCUUAUUUGAGCUGUUCUUGCCAUAAUAUGGACUUGGUCUUUUACCAAAUAGGGCCAUCUUAUGUAGAUCACCCCUACCUUGUUACAACACAACUUAUUGGCUGAAAUGCAUUAAGGGAAGAAAUUCUACAAAUUAACAAGGCACACCUGUUAAUUGAAAUGCAAUCCAGGUG
Molecule: long non-coding RNA, 1333 nt
Filed under: Salmo salar (Atlantic salmon)
Lineage: Eukaryota; Metazoa; Chordata; Actinopteri; Salmoniformes; Salmonidae
Description: lncRNA (ENSSSAG00000089876.1)
Source: RNAcentral